Molecule: ribosomal RNA, 486 nt
Filed under: uncultured bacterium
Lineage: Bacteria
Description: bacterial SSU rRNA
Rfam family: Bacterial small subunit ribosomal RNA
Source: RNAcentral
AUUGAACGCUGGCGGCAGGCCUAACACAUGCAAGUCGAGCGGAUGAAGGGAGCUUGCUCUCUGAUUCAGCGGCGGACGGGUGAGUAAUGCCUAGGAAUCUGCCUGAUAGUGGGGGACAACGUUUCGAAAGGAACGCUAAUACCGCAUACGUCCUACGGGAGAAAGCAGGGGACCUUCGGGCCUUGCGCUAUCAGAUGAGCCUAGGUCGGAUUAGCUAGUUGGUGAGGUAAUGGCUCACCAAGGCGACGAUCCGUAACUGGUCUGAGAGGAUGAUCAGUCACACUGGAACUGAGACACGGUCCAGACUCCUACGGGAGGCAGCAGUGGGGAAUAUUGGACAAUGGGCGAAAGCCUGAUCCAGCCAUGCCGCGUGUGUGAAGAAGGUCUCCGGAUUGUAAAGCACUUUAAGUUGGGAGGAAGGGCAUUAACCUAAUACGUUAGUGUUUUGACGUUACCGACAGAAUAAGCACCGGCUAACUUCGUGCC